This is a long non-coding RNA of Peromyscus californicus insignis, 1814 nucleotides long. RefSeq lists it as uncharacterized. Lineage: Eukaryota; Metazoa; Chordata; Mammalia; Rodentia; Cricetidae. The record is from RefSeq and is a predicted model, not a curated record. The transcript has 3 exons.
AGGCGUUCCUGAAGAGUCAGCUGGGAGGAGCCAGUUUUCUCUGAACUGCUCACCUCAUGGCUUUGAGAGAACUCCACUGUUAACAGCUCCAGCUCCAGAUAAUCCUCUGAAAUGCAGACUCUAUAGCUAGCAGCUGAAUGUCCUCCUCCUCCUGGCUGUCUGACAGGCAUUUCAUACACAACCCGUCCCAAGAUGAACCUGUGUCUGUCUCUGUCCCCCAGCUUGCACUAGACUUGCUCCCCGGCAUUCUUUCUUACCUCAGUGUAACUCUUCUACCCAUGGCUCACCAAGAUCUUGGUGCCAACAGGGAGUCCUCUCUUUUUCCAACACCCCAUAAGCUGCCCAUCAUUGUAUCUCUUAACUCAUCAUCUUGUUUUCAACUCUGGACCCACUUAAGCGCAGAUUUACUAUGCUUCAACUUAAUACACUCUCCAUUAUGAGUUUGCAUGAUCUGUGGUGACAGCUGUCUAACUGGAUUCUACACAGGGCCGUUCAAAACGGUCUCUGUAUAAUGUAAGUGUAAGUAUACCAUGUUUCUGCUCCCAGCACCCAUUGACUCCACCUUUCCCUCCAAUAAAAGACAGAAGCUUUAUAGUGGUCCACAAAGCCCCAGUGGUAGCUUCCUCCUCAUUUGUCCUUGCACCCUGCCCCUUCCCCCCCCCUCACUUCUCUUUCCUGGUCUCUACCAUGCUCCUCCCUCAUUUCAGUCUAGUAUCUGUAUGACUUUGCUGUCAUAACAAACGAUCACAGAUUGCCCCUGACUGUGCAGCUUCAAACAACAUGCAUCUAUUGUCAGGCAGUUCUGGGCUGGAAGUUGAACUUGGCUUAGGUAUUUUCUCUGGUUGUCAGCAAAAUUCAGUCUUAAAUUUAUACAAGUAAGGUUCCUGUUUCCUUCCUGGCUGUUGCAUAGAGGCUGUCCUUACCUCCUAGAGGGUUCUCCUAAGUCUUUAGUGGUGGGUCCCUAUGUUUCCAAGUCAGCAACAAUGGUAUCAUUCUCAUAAUCUCUGGUUUCCUUUUGCGUUGAAUAAUUCUUGCUGCAGUCAGAGAGUCUGUUUGUAAGGUUUCAUGUGAAUAGAUUGAGUCAAUCUGGAUAAUCUGCGAUUAUCUCUUAUCUCGAGGUUUGAAACAAUUUUAUCGCCAAGGUUCUUUUGCCAUGUAAUACAACAAAUCCAUAUGUUCCAAGAAGUGGUGCCGUACUGAGAUUCAGGUGAUGGCACGCAUUACUCAGAACAACAUCAAGCAAAUUACCGUCAUCUGUGGCCCCUUGACUUCUUAGAACUGACGUUGGCUUUGUGUUUCCUGCCCAGGCUUUCCCUGGAGCGAAGAAUGAACGGAGUGAGAACCCGAAGGGUUUGCCUCUGUCUGUGUCUGAACUGGGCUCAGCAGCCGCUUGUGACGAACCAGCUUGUCGUCACUUUCACAGGUCUCGGUCAGUACCUUUUGUGCGUGUAGCUGACACAUCAGACAGCACCUUGCCCCAUGUGCUUUGUGUCUUCAGCAUUGUCUCCUGUCCCUCCCACUAUCUCUGAUAGUAUGGGCUGUCUGUUUUACAGUCACCCGCCUCUCGUGACUCAUUUGCUGUCUUGGAUCUUGGUCGACGCAAGUAUUACUAUCCCUCAGACUGAAACAUGUAGUUAAAAAAAUAAAUUGAGAGUCUGUAUAAGUAUGAAAAAUGUGCUGUAUAUAGAUGGAGCAGUUGUUUUCAUUUGAGUGUGGUUGAUGGACCACCUGAAUCAGAACCAUGGGUCAGGGAGGGAGUUACUUAUGAUAGCAUAGGUUACUAAUUACUGAAUCAGAGUUGGAAAGGGAUGGAG